AACCGGAUUAGAUACCCUGGUAGUCCACGCCGUAAACGAUGAUAACUAGCUGUCGGGGCUCUUAGAGCUUCGGUGGCGCAGCUAACGCAUUAAGUUAUCCGCCUGGGGAGUACGGCCGCAAGGUUAAAACUCAAAUGAAUUGACGGGGGCCUGCACAAGCGGUGGAGCAUGUGGUUUAAUUCGAAGCAACGCGCAGAACCUUACCAGCGUUUGACAUGUCCGGACGAUUUCGGGAGACCGAUCUCUUCCCUUCGGGGACUGGAACACAGGUGCUGCAUGGCUGUCGUCAGCUCGUGUCGUGAGAUGCUGGGUUAAGUCCCGCAACGAGCGCAACCCUCGCCUUUAGUUACCAUCAUUCAGUUGGGGACUCUAAAGGAACCGCCGGUGAUAAGCCGGAGGAAGGUGGGGAUGACGUCAAGUCCUCAUGGCCCUUACGCGCUGGGCUACACACGUGCUACAAUGGCGGUGACAGUGGGCAGCAAUCCCGCAAGGGUGAGCUAAUCUCCAAAAGCCGUCUCAGUUCGGAUUGUUCUCUGCAACUCGAGAGCAUGAAGGCGGAAUCGCUAGUAAUCGCGGAUCAGCAUGCCGCGGCGAAUACGUUCCCAGGCCUUGUACACACCGCCCGUCACACCAUGGGAGUUGGAUUCACCCGAAGGCAGUGCGCUAACCGCAAGGAGGCAGCUGACCACGGUGGGUUCAGCGACUGGGGUGAAGUCGUAACAAGGUAGCCGUA
RNAcentral lists this ribosomal RNA (733 nucleotides) under uncultured endophytic bacterium. Its description in RNAcentral is "bacterial SSU rRNA". It matches the Rfam family "Bacterial small subunit ribosomal RNA", at positions 771 to 1504 of the family's 1533-position model. The record is from RNAcentral.